UACGUAGGGUGCAAGCGUUGUCCGGAAUUAUUGGGCGUAAAGAGCUCGUAGGCGGUUUGUCGCGUCUGCUGUGAAAACUCGGGGCUUAACCCCGGGCCUGCAGUGGGUACGGGCAGACUAGAGUGCGGUAGGGGAGACUGGAAUUCCUGGUGUAGCGGUGAAAUGCGCAGAUAUCAGGAGGAACACCGAUGGCGAAGGCAGGUCUCUGGGCCACUACUGACGCUGAGAAGCGAAAGCAUGGGGAGCGAACAGG
RNAcentral lists this ribosomal RNA (253 nucleotides) under uncultured bacterium. RNAcentral's name for it is "partial 16S ribosomal RNA". It matches the Rfam family "Bacterial small subunit ribosomal RNA", at positions 524 to 776 of the family's 1533-position model. The record is from RNAcentral.